UACAGAGGUGGCAAGCGUUGUUCGGAUUUACUGGGCGUAAAGGGUGCGUAGGCGGCCCCGUGUGUCGGAUGUGAAAGCCCACCGCUUAACGGUGGAAAGUCAUUCGAAACUGCGGGGCUAGAGUACAGGAGGGGAGAGCGGAAUUCUUGGUGUAGCGGUGAGAUGCGUUGAUAUCAAGAGGAACACCGGUGGCGUAAGCGGCUCUCUGGAAUGAUACUGACGCUGAGGCACGAGAGCUAGGGGAGCAAACAGG
This 253-nucleotide ribosomal RNA is filed under the name uncultured bacterium. RNAcentral's name for it is "partial 16S ribosomal RNA". It matches the Rfam family "Bacterial small subunit ribosomal RNA", at positions 524 to 776 of the family's 1533-position model. The record is from RNAcentral.